UCUGAAGUCCUCAAGUGCGCAUGGAGACUGAGGAAGAUGAAAAUGGAAUCACUGGAAGAUGGCAGAACAGAAGCAUAGAGAAGUCACCUACACAAGGUUGCAUGGCUGGCAUUUGGUGAAUCAGGACCUGUCUGAUGUGGCUGAAGAUAAAUCUCUGUACACUUGAGCUCUUUUCGAACCAAGAAGCACCAAACCUAAAGCUUCAAACAACCAUGAAAUUCUCACAACUGAUGACCACAUGUGCCUUUUAUUUUUUAGCCAUGACAUUUUUUGAGUAUAAUAUCUACUUUCCAUAUAAGACCUCUUUAACAUCUAGGUUCCCACUGCUUUUUUCUGGCUUGUUCACUCUUCAAUAUAGAAGACUUGCGAUCUCAAAGAAUCUGUUUAUGGUUGUCGUAUAUGCUUGAUCCAAGUUUAUUUAUGAUUUAUUGUCCGUGUUUAUAAGGUUUGUUUUUAUUAAAGCUUCCAGAGAUGGCGUGAGUUCUUUCCAUAAGUAAAAACUUCCUACUCAAGUAGCUUACUGGUUAUUUCACAUGCAUCCGUGUCAAGAAGUACCACUGCUCACUCGGCAUCUUAGAAGCCACGAGAAGAUGGUCUUAAGAUGUUCUUGGUUCAAAGCUUCCUAUAUUCUCUCUGUUUUUCCUUCUUGGUUAAAUCACAGAGUAGUCUGGUUAUAGCUAAAUGAGGAGUAAAUCUCCCACAACAUCAUGUUUAUUCAAGGACUGAUCCACCCUGGGUAUUGGUUAAUAAAGUGUCUUUUCUUUUAUCA
RNAcentral lists this long non-coding RNA (769 nucleotides) under Ursus maritimus (polar bear). RNAcentral describes it as "lncRNA (ENSUMAG00000012277.1)". The record is from RNAcentral. Lineage: Eukaryota; Metazoa; Chordata; Mammalia; Carnivora; Ursidae.